This is a long non-coding RNA of Pseudopipra pipra, 3364 nucleotides long. RefSeq lists it as uncharacterized. The transcript is spliced from 2 exons. The record is from RefSeq and is a predicted model, not a curated record. Lineage: Eukaryota; Metazoa; Chordata; Aves; Passeriformes; Pipridae.
GCCAACACAAAUCUGUGUCUGGCUUACUGGACACGGCGCGGACAUUUCCAUAAUCUCUGCCAAAGAUUGGCCCAGCACCUGGGGUACAACAAGGCCAGCUGUCAACAUCCAAGGAGUAGGAGGAUCCAAAACUCCUCUCCAGAGCAUUUUGCCACUUCUGGUCCAAGGCCCACAGGCCCUUUGAAGAAAGCUGUGACAGCCUUCACAGACGGCUCAGGGAGGUCCAGUAAUGCAGUGGUAGCCUGGUUUGAAAAAGGAGAAUGGAAAACAGAUGUUCAUCAAGUUGAAGGUUCAUCUCAGAUUGCUGAACUCUCAGCCGUGGUAAGAGCGUUCCAACUUUUUCCACAGACUCUGAAUUUGGUAUCAGAUUCUGCCUAUGUUGUAGGAGUUGUAAGUUGCAUAGAAAAUAGUUAUGUAAAAGAUCUGAACAAUCAAAAGUUGUUUACCCUGUUUAAAACAUUGUUACUAUUAAUCCAACAGAGGAAACAUCCUUUCUAUAUCACUCACAUUCGAUCACAUACAUGCCUCCCAGGCCCACUUACAGAAGGGAAGGCUGUGGCAGAUAAAGCAGCAAAUUCAGCUUUCCCAGUUAACACAGUACCUACACCUAACAGUUUUGAAAAAGCAAAAAUUUCUCAUAACUUUUUCCACCAAAAUUCUACAUCAUUGAAAAAAAUGUUUCAGUUAUCUACCUCUCAAGCCAAAGCCAUUGUGUCUGCGUGUCCAGACUGUCAGUUGGUAACUCCAGUGAGAUCUGAAGGAGUUAAUCCAAGAGGCCUUAGCCCCUUAGAUCUCUGGCAAUCAGAUGUGACACAUGUGCCACGAUUUGGCAGAUUGAAAUAUGUACAUGUAUCAGUGGACACUUGCUCAGGACUCAUUGUUGCCACUGCACAUACAGGAGAAAAAGCUAAAGAUGUUAAAAGACAUUUUUUCUCAGCAUUUGCCAUAAUGGGCAUUCCAAAACAAAUUAAAACAGAUAAUGCCCCGGCAUACAUUUCUGCUUCCCUUAAAGAAUUUUUCAAUAUGUGGGGAAUAGUUCACACCACUGGCAUUCCUCACUCUCCACAGGGCCAAGCGAUAGUAGAGAGAACUCACAAAUCCUUAAAAGAUAUGCUGAAAAAACAAGAAAAAACAACUGUAGGUCUCUCUCCAUCAGAACGUUUAAACAAGGCAUUGUAUGUCCUCAAUUUUUUAAAUAGGCUGCAUGAGGAUGUUUCACCUGUUGGACAUCAUUUUGGAGCUGGAAAAUUAAAAACGAGGGAAGCUGAGGUAAAAUACAAGGAUAUCCUGACAGGAGAAUGGCUCGGUCCUGUCCCUCUAAUUGUCUGGGGAAGAGGACAUGCUUGUGUCUCCACAGGAGCAGGUCCAAGAUGGAUACCGUCCAGACUAGUGAGGAUCCACCAAGAAGUUUCCCUCCCAGCUCAACCAGCAGCAGAUCCAGCACCAGCGGAUUCAGCACCAGCUACAGGAAGCGAUCCCCCAUCAGCAUCACUUUCGGGAUAAUCCUGGUUUUUGUGUGCAGCAUAACACCAGCAAAUCAGAAAGACUUAACGUCAGGAGCCCUUGCCACACCUCCUCCAACAAUUCCAAAUUGGGUAAUGCUCCCUGGUCAAAAUGUUUGGCUAAACCUGGCACAAUCACUAAAUACUGACUCUGUCUGUCUCUCUACCUUAGAUCCCUCUCACCCUUUUAAGACCUGUCUGGUAGGAAUCCCAUGGACACCCAGAGAAUGGGGUGAUUUUAGAAAUCAAUAUAUCCCCUGGUGUGAUGACCAUGAUCAGUUUAAAAAUCCGUUCUUAGAUUGUCUCACAAGACCAGCAAAAACUUCACAUGACAGACAGACAUUUAGCUAUCAGUGGCAGAGACCUGAGGAAUUAGAAAUCUUGGGGAGUAUCAUAUCUCCUCUCUGGUUUUGCUUCAUUCACAACAAAUAUGUUGCCCCUCCUGAAUUAAUUAAUGUCACCUCUUAUGGACCUUAUUCCAAUUUCAGUUUCUGGUGCAAGGAAGAGGUUCCUUACCAGAUACAUGCUACCCCUGAUUCAGUUAUUCUUCCAAAAGGAGUCUUUUUAAUUUGUGGACUUAGAGUCUGGAAUAUGAUUCCCAGAUUAGCUGCUGGAGGCCCCUGCACAUUUGGAAAAUUAACACUGCUAUCCAGCUACCCUUAUGAAAUCUUUACCUGUAAGUCCUCCCAAAAGUCAUGCAAAAAGAAACCUUAACCUCCAAACAACCUCACCCUUCCCACGUCAUAGAGUGCGCAGGCAAUUCCAAGGUUUACACCCACCUCUUAACUUCUAUCCAUCACAACCAAAACCACCUUCUCCACCUAAGGCAGUGCAGGUCCCUGUGGCUGCAGCACCCCCACCUCCAGCUGAAGAACAUCCCUUAGCAAAAUUGCAGUCCUUGAGUGAAUUCACGGCAGAAUGCAAUUCCAACAUGCUUUUUUGGUCCGACACCGCAAACAUUCUAAGUGGUCUGCUUCCAGUUUUCAGCUCCACAAAAGCCUUAAUGCUCCUUACCAGAAUGGGAUGUUGGCUUGCAAAAGAAGCUGAUGCCACCAGUGCUGCCCUUGAUGAUCUAUUACAAGAUACCCAAACCAAUAAGAAGGCCUUGUUACAAAAUCGUGCUGCAAUAGAUUUUCUCCUUCUAGUAAAUGGCCAUGGGUAUCAGGAGUUUGAAGGCCUCUGCUGCCUCAACUUCUCUGAUCACUCCCAAUCUAUCCACUCCCAGAUUAAUCAGCUUAAGUCCUUAGUUCAUGAAAUCAAGUAAGUUGAUCCUCUGACCUUUGAUGACUUUUUCAACUGGCUGCCCUUCAAAGGCCUCUCUUCCACUAUUAAGAAAAUUAUUGUAGUUAUCGUACUAGGACUUUCCGUAGUGUUUCUCUUUACGUGUGUCUUUCCAUGCUUGCUCAGUUGUGCCAGAACCUCUCAAUCAUUAAAAGCAUAUCCAGCUUUAGGAAACAGAAAAGGAGGAGCUGUGGCAAUGGAUUUGCCAUAUGCAGGAUGGAAGAAGUCCUGCCAGAGAUGGAAUAGUGAAGAAAAAGAAGAAAACAGUUCAAAUGUUAUAGAAACAGAAGUUUUUAAUGUGGUUUAAACAUGUUUCAAAAUGGCUUUUUGUAUUUUCUGCAAGGUUACUGUUUCUUCUUCCCGACACCCCCUGGGAGGGACUUGUCUCCCAUACAGGAGUAUCCUGGGAAAGUGUCCUGAGGUGUUUCUCAUUGGUCCUUGUUAACCCCUUCCUGUUGGCUGUUGACCCCUUACCUGAUUGGUUUUUUCUGUGCCCCUGAACUGGUGAUUGGCCCCCUUUUGACCCUCCUAAAAGCCUUACAAACCCCUACCCCACAAAUAAACUCUCUCUUUCGUCCGUC